RNAcentral lists this ribosomal RNA (254 nucleotides) under uncultured bacterium. Its description in RNAcentral is "partial 16S ribosomal RNA". It matches the Rfam family "Bacterial small subunit ribosomal RNA", at positions 524 to 776 of the family's 1533-position model. The record is from RNAcentral.
GACGUAGGGCGCGAGCGUUGUCCGGAUUUAUUGGGCGUAAAGAGCUCGUAGGCGGCUUGUUGCGUCGACUGUGAAAACCUGCGGCUCAACCGUGUGGUCUGCAGUCGAUACGGGCAGGCUGGAGUUCGGUAGGGGAGACUGGAAUUCCUGGUGUAGCGGUGAAAUGCGCAGAUAUCAGGAGGAACACCGGUGGCGAAGGCGGGACUCUGGGCCGAUACUGACGCUGAGGAGCGAAAGCGUGGGGAGCGAACAGG